UCUCGUGGGACAUGGUGUUCACCUCAGCAACUGGAGCCUCCCACUUGUAUCUCCUUUCACGUGCCCCUGCCAGGAGGGUUUUACCUCUUGCAUAUUGCAUAACUACUUUCCAGAGCCAGCACCGAUUUUGUCUGCUCAGGUUACAGGAGGUUUGCAAGAGCCAUUUGAAAUACAGGAGGAGCAAUUUAAGUGCCCAGGCUGCAGCUCCAGAGGGUCUACUUGGCCAGCCGAAUGUGGAGACUGGACGAGUUUUGCCUGCAUUUAGAAAGCACUGCAGGACCUGGUUCCUCUCACAGUCCUCCCUUAAGCAUUGACUACGGAAUAAAUAGAGGAUGUUUUCCUUCCCUGAAUAUCUAUUUCCUUCCUAAAUAAACCAUGGUGACCUUUCACCUGAUUGAAGCCUGUUGCAGUGGCUCCUCACAGUCUCCUCCAGGCUGGAUGAAAACACAGCCCAUGCUUUCUCACCUCCUACCACAGUCAGAGUGGGGGAGGCAGCUGAGCAACCCUUCCUGCAAUCCCUUCAGUCUGUGAUGGUGGUGAUACAGAGGGAGUGGAUAAAGCCAGAAUUGGUCAAAUGCCAUCCAUGCUCUCUCCUCACAGAGCUCAGCUGAGAGCAGUUCAUAUGCAUCAGCACUGAGGUGCCUUCAAACCAUCCAAAAGCCUGAAGCUGUGAUUCUGCAAAACUGCCCUCAUCCUCAUGAAUCACUGGACAAAGGAGCUGCUGGAUUUGGACUCUGUUACCUGGUCUGAACUCUCUGCUGAUAUGAACCCUGGGAUCUCUCCUGCUCUGACUCUUAGCCUCUUACACCACUGAGCUUCCAGGAGGGCUUGGACUGAGACCCAAACACCCAUUCUGCACGGGCAAGUUCACAGACAGGUUUUUGCAAGCCGGUCUUUGCUUCACCCAUGGACAAUUUUCAUUUGGAUGAUUUUCCUCCAGCCCCAUCUGUUGUUGUGGCCUCACAGAUACAGUUCAUGACUUGUUCUUGCCUCCUACUUCUUGGCCUGCCAAAGUCCCAUCCCUGUUGCAAAUACCACAGCCCUGAAGCAGCCAGGUAGAGUAUUCCCCUUGAGGUACUGGAAAAUCAAUCCUUUUCAUCCACAGAGAACUAGAACUGCAUCUAUUUUCUGAGUUAUCACCACUCUUGAAGCUAGUGAAAUAUCAGGAUUUGGUCGAUGAUUUCUGCAAGGCUGUGAUAUAUAAACUUAGGCCGAUCCCUUCUGUGUAGAUGAAGCCAAACUCUGUUUAUGACAGGACAUUGUUCCGUAUCUAACCUAUUGCACAGGCACACUUCCUGUCUUUAAUGUUAUUGUCUGACCCUCUUACACUUAAAUCCCAGGUCAGCCCAACAAUAUUGCAGUGGAGUGCAAUAUUGUCUUGCUGAAUCACGUAAAUCAUGUUUGCAGGUGACAUUUCAACAGCUCUUCUUAGAGCUGAAGCCCGGGGCAGUUUUAGGUGCUGGGGAGGUUCCGCCUGUGGAAGGUUCUACAAAGCCAGUAGGAGGCCCCUGCAGUGGGGUUUUGCUGGGAUACAGUUGUCAUUGCACAGGAGAACUUGGUGAUUCACCCCUGUGAACGUGCCCAUAGAGGCUUUUGAGAGCAGGUGCGCACUUUCCACAACCACAGCAAGUGUGUGCUGCAGACCAGGGUGCACUUCCUGUUGGUGGCUGGGUGCCAUCUCCCAAUGGCAAUUUUCGGCUGUUGACAGAUGUGGGGGCCACUCCAUGUCCUCACCAACCAGCACAGCAGUGCCCCUGGCAGCUUGGCACUACUGUGCUCAGCACUGAACAGCUUCACCUCCAUCCCCAGAACUCUGUCACUGACCUUGGAGAUGAGGUCAAGUCAGGCUGCAUGCAAAGGAAACAUCCUCAAAAUCAUAAAUGCUCAUAUAUCACUUCUGUUGAGGGCACAACUCAGAAUUCCUGCCCUGAGAUGGGAGUUUUCCAGUGGAGAUCUGUGCAAAGAGAUAGGGUCUGUGGAAGCUCCUGUGGUGGGUUUGCUUUCUACAUGGAGUGGAAAAAGUCACAUCUUAUGAGUCACACCUCUAUUGCAGAAAUGCAGAUGCCACUACAAACUCUCCAGAUGUACACAGACCAAACACUGCCUGUCUUGUUAGGCUCCCAGCUCCAAGUGAUGAAUUUUGAAUUCUCCUGCCAGAAUUUAUUCUGAAUUCGUAUUUUAAAAGAGCAGAAACUGCUCAUGCAUUCCCUUAUUCCAGAAAGGCUGAGAAACUCUUGGAUGGUGACCUAGACUUUAAAGUGCUGCUUUUGUUCAAAGGGUUUCUUACACUGAAAGUUUGGCACUUGCUUAGCUGCUUUGAGCAGUGUGAAAAUGUUGAAUUGUGUGGAUGUCAGAAAACCAUGAUGAGGAUUGUCCACCUGGGAAAUUUUAGGGAGAUAACUUCUUUGACUGUGUGAAUGAUGCUGGUGUAGCUAAACAGAUGAUAGAUAUGACCACCCAUGACAUGUCAUUCCUUAGCUAAUACCAUGCAAAGAUUGCUCAUUGUGGGCAAUACCCUGUUUUGAUGUCUCUGGCCUGCACCAGCUUCCUCAGACUGCAAUCAAUUCCCAAGAUUGCACUAAGGUUAUGGACUGCCUCCAGACUUCCAGUUUGAGACCACUGCUGUGUGCAGGGGUAUAGUAAUAGCUAAACUAUAUAAUUACAUCGGAUCGCAUUCACAUCAGGGGCUUCAGGACCUUUGCUACAUCUGCUACCAGUUAAGGCUGUGCAAAAGCAGCAUCUUUGGCUUGCUGAGCUGUGUCAGCAAGCCCCUGCUGUGUUGUGCAUGGAGCAGCCGAAAUCAACUACAACUGGUAGUUGCUGUAAAGCCCCUCAUGUUUUGCUGUACAACGUAGCAGUGAGCUAGAUUGAGGAGUUUCUUAAUACAGACUUUGCGAGAGAGUGGCCAGCCAAGAGAAUUCUGAAGCUGGCAGCCUGUAAUCAGUCUCCACCAAAGAAAGGACAAGGGUUUGGGGGUCUGAAGGGCAGUAAGGCCCAAAGAACUGCAUCCCACAAACCCAAGCAGUGUUCAGAUCCAUGCGGUGAUGACAGCAAAGCCUAACAACUCUUUGUAUCCUGCCUGGUCCUCCCUGCCUGUGGACACCUUGCUAGCUUCCCUACUGCUGAGGGAAGCAGGCUCCCAGUAAAGAGAAGAUAGUCCUUUUCCACCCUGCCCAGUCCCACAUCACUUAGCCUGACCAGCCCCAUGAGGAUCCCAAUAGCUCUGGAGAUGGGCAAAACAGAAACACUAAAAUUCUACUAAAGCAGAA
Molecule: long non-coding RNA, 3269 nt
Organism: Cyanistes caeruleus (blue tit)
Lineage: Eukaryota; Metazoa; Chordata; Aves; Passeriformes; Paridae
Source: RefSeq, a predicted model, not a curated record